GACGAACGCUGGCGGCGUGCUUAACACAUGCAAGUCGAACGGAGAGGCCCUGCUUUUGUGGGGUGCUCGAGUGGCGAACGGGUGAGUAACACGUGAGUAACCUGCCCUUGACUUUGGGAUAACUUCAGGAAACUGGGGCUAAUACCGGAUAGGAGCUCCUGCUGCAUGGUGGGGGUUGGAAAGUUUCGGCGGUUGGGGAUGGACUCGCGGCUUAUCAACUUGUUGGUGGGGUAGUGGCUUACCAAGGCUUUGACGGGUAGCCGGCCUGAGAGGGUGACCGGCCACAUUGGGACUGAGAUACGGCCCAGACUCCUACGGGAGGCAGCAGUGGGGAAUAUUGCACAAUGGGCGGAAGCCUGAUGCAGCAACGCCGCGUGCGGGAUGACGGCCUUCGGGUUGUAAACCGCUUUCGCCUGUGACGAAGCGUGAGUGACGGUAAUGGGUAAAGAAGCACCGGCUAACUACGUG
RNAcentral lists this ribosomal RNA (468 nucleotides) under uncultured bacterium. Its description in RNAcentral is "partial 16S ribosomal RNA". It matches the Rfam family "Bacterial small subunit ribosomal RNA", at positions 28 to 507 of the family's 1533-position model. The record is from RNAcentral.